RNAcentral lists this ribosomal RNA (460 nucleotides) under uncultured bacterium. Its description in RNAcentral is "partial 16S ribosomal RNA". It matches the Rfam family "Bacterial small subunit ribosomal RNA", at positions 338 to 795 of the family's 1533-position model. The record is from RNAcentral.
CCUACGGGUGGCAGCAGUGAGGAAUAUUGGUCAAUGGACGAGAGUCUGAACCAGCCAAGUAGCGUGAAGGAUGACUGCCCUAUGGGUUGUAAACUUCUUUUAUAUGGGAAUAAAAUGUUCCACGUGUGGGAUUUUGUAUGUACCAUAUGAAUAAGGAUCGGCUAACUCCGUGCCAGCAGCCGCGGUAAUACGGAGGUUCCGAGCGUUAUCCGGAUUUAUUGGGUUUAAAGGGAGCAUAGGUGGAUUGUUAAGUCAGUUGUGAAAGUUUGCGGCUCAACCGUAAAAUUGCAGUUGAAACUGGCAGUCUUGAGUACAGUAGAGGUGGGCGGAAUUCGUGGUGUAGCGGUGAAAUGCUUAGAUAUCACGAAGAACUCCGAUUGCGAAGGCAGUUCACUGGACUGCAACUGACACUGAGGCUCGAAAGUGUGGGUAUCAAACAGGAGUAGAUACCCCUGUAGUC